UGGGGAAUAUUGCACAAUGGGCGAAAGCCUGAUGCAGCGACGCCGCGUGAGGGAUGACGGCCUUCGGGUUGUAAACCUCUUUCAGUAGGGACGAAGCGCAAGUGACGGUACCUGCAGAAGAAGCACCGGCUAACUACGUGCCAGCAGCCGCGGUAAUACGUAGGGUGCGAGCGUUGUCCGGAAUUACUGGGCGUAAAGAGCUCGUGGGCGGUUUGUCACGUCGUCUGUGAAAUCCUAGGGCUUAUCCCUGGACGUGCAGGCGAUACGGGCUGACUUGAGUACUACAGGGGAGACUGGAAUUUCUGGUGUAGCGGUGGAAUGCACAGAUAUCAGGAAGAACACCGAUGGCGAAGGCAGGUCUCUGGGUAGUAACUGACGCUGAGGAGCGAAAGCAUGGGUAGCGAACAGG
RNAcentral lists this ribosomal RNA (409 nucleotides) under bacterium. RNAcentral's name for it is "partial 16S ribosomal RNA". It matches the Rfam family "Bacterial small subunit ribosomal RNA", at positions 355 to 776 of the family's 1533-position model. The record is from RNAcentral.